RNAcentral lists this long non-coding RNA (642 nucleotides) under Monodelphis domestica (gray short-tailed opossum). Its description in RNAcentral is "lncRNA (ENSMODG00000043784.1)". The record is from RNAcentral. Lineage: Eukaryota; Metazoa; Chordata; Mammalia; Didelphimorphia; Didelphidae.
CCACUGAAUGACUGGCCAUCAGAAUCCUGUACAACACUCAGACCUGCUUGCCAGAUAAGUGAGAUCCACGGAAGAAGGAGCCUCUGUAAGAUAGAGUACGUCCAAGAAAUGCCAGGCUUGUUGGCAGCAGCCGGCAACUAUCAGGCGGAGAGGUCUCUGGAGCAUCAAAGGCGUUUUCAUCCCUAUCUAUAGGGCUGGAGAUUUAGAAACGAGUGUGCUGCUCAAUAGCCUGCAAUUUAGUACAUCCUCACAAAACGAGAGCCUGCCUUAUAGUAUAUUAUCACUCCCCCCCCCCUUUUUUUUCAGCAGGCUUAACAGUUUCCUUCUUCACCAUUAUGGAGAAGUUAUCUGCAUGGACCAGGCUGUGGGCUGCGAAUCACUUUCUUUUGUGUCUGCGAUGAUGGGCCGAGUUAUUCUUUGUACUGGACCCAUGUGGGAUUUAUGCAAACCAUGCUCACUCAAGUGUCCUGGGGGAAUGUGAAGACUGAUAUAUAUUUUCACCAGAAUAUUGAUGCUAAAAAGGUGGUCAUUUGCAACAAGGAGCAGCUUGGGAUCAUUGGAAAGGCUGUACAAUUUCCAGAAUUUAAUCUAGUCACAUCUCCAUCUCCUCAUUCCAUUUUGGGACACCCAUUGUCCUUCUGA